GAUGAACGCUGGCGGCGUGCCUAAUACAUGCAAGUCGAGCGAACGGACGAGAAGCUUGCUUCUCUGAUGUUAGCGGCGGACGGGUGAGUAACACGUGGAUAACCUACCUAUAAGACUGGGAUAACUUCGGGAAACCGGAGCUAAUACCGGAUAAUAUUUUGAACCGCAUGGUUCAAAAGUGAAAGACGGUCUUGCUGUCACUUAUAGAUGGAUCCGCGCUGCAUUAGCUAGUUGGUAAGGUAACGGCUUACCAAGGCAACGAUGCAUAGCCGACCUGAGAGGGUGAUCGGCCACCCUGGAACUGAGACUCGGUCCAGACUCCUACGGGAGGCAGCAGUAGGGAAUCUUCCGCAAUGGGCGAAAGCCUGACGGAGCAACGCCGCGUGAGUGAUGAAGGUCUUCGGCUCGUAAAACUCUGUUAUUAGGGAAGAACAUAUGUGUAAGUAACUGUGCACAUCUUGACGGUACCUAAUCAGAAAGCCACGGCUAACUACGUG
This 497-nucleotide ribosomal RNA is filed under the name uncultured bacterium. Its description in RNAcentral is "partial 16S ribosomal RNA". It matches the Rfam family "Bacterial small subunit ribosomal RNA", at positions 28 to 507 of the family's 1533-position model. The record is from RNAcentral.